This 468-nucleotide ribosomal RNA is filed under the name uncultured bacterium. Its description in RNAcentral is "partial 16S ribosomal RNA". It matches the Rfam family "Bacterial small subunit ribosomal RNA", at positions 28 to 507 of the family's 1533-position model. The record is from RNAcentral.
GACGAACGCUGGCGGCGUGCUUAACACAUGCAAGUCGAACGGAAAGGCCCUGCUUUUGUGGGGUGCUCGAGUGGCGAACGGGUGAGUAACACGUGAGUAACCUGCCCUUGACUUUGGGAUAACUUCAGGAAACUGGGGCUAAUACCGGAUAGGCGCUCCUGCUGCAUGGUGGGGGUUGGAAAGUUUCGGCGGUUGGGGAUGGACUCGCGGCUUAUCAGCUUGUUGGUGGGGUAGUGGCUUACCAAGGCUUUGACGGGUAGCCGGCCUGAGAGGGUGACCGGCCACAUUGGGACUGAGAUACGGCCCAGACUACUAAGGGAGGCAGCAGUGGGGAAUAUUGCACAAUGGGCGGAAGCCGGAUGAAGCAACGCCGCGUGCGGGAUGACGGCCUUCGGGUUGUAAACCGCUUUCGCCUGUGACGAAGCGUGAGUGAAGGUAAUGGGUAAAGAAGCACCGGCUAACUACGUG